This 372-nucleotide RNase P RNA is filed under the name Rubrivivax sp. RNAcentral's name for it is "RNase P RNA component class A". It matches the Rfam family "Bacterial RNase P class A". Rfam says of the family: Ribonuclease P (RNase P) is a ubiquitous endoribonuclease, found in archaea, bacteria and eukarya as well as chloroplasts and mitochondria. Its best characterised activity is the generation of mature 5'-ends of tRNAs by cleaving the 5'-leader elements of precursor-tRNAs. Lineage: Bacteria; Pseudomonadati; Pseudomonadota; Betaproteobacteria; Burkholderiales; Sphaerotilaceae. The record is from RNAcentral.
GAAGCAAGCCAGGCCGCCGCUGGUGCAAGGACCGAAAGGUCGCACUGGAGGAAGGUCCGGACUGCACAGGGCGGCGUAGCAGCUAACGGCUGCCCACCGCGAGGUGAGGAUCAGAGCAACAGAGACGAGUCGACGCGGGGCCCCGGCCCCGCGUCGGGUGAAACGGGCAAUCUCUACGCGCAGCAACACCAAGUAGGCAUGCGUCGGGUGGAGCGGUACGCCGCCCCGCCCGGGCCCUGGCCCGGGGCAUGCAUGCGGGUCGGUGGCACCGAGCCGGCGAGCGAUCGCCGGCCCAGAUGAAUGGCGGCCACGCCGGGGGCCUCGCAAGGGGUUUCCGGUGCACAGAAUCCGGCCUAUCGGCUUGCUUCACAC